RNAcentral lists this non-coding RNA (23 nucleotides) under Cricetulus griseus (Chinese hamster). The record is from RNAcentral. Lineage: Eukaryota; Metazoa; Chordata; Mammalia; Rodentia; Cricetidae.
UGACUAACAUGAAGCUCUUAAUU